AACGCACCUUGCGCUCCCUGGUAUUCCGGGGAGCACGCCUGUUCGAGUGUCGUGAAAUUUCUCAAGCUUGGAUGGAUUUUUCUGUCCUUAGUUUGGUUGUUGGGCUUUGCCGUGUCCUUCAUUGGAACGGCUGGCCUUAAAAGCAUUAGCUGAUCCUUGUGUGGCACUGGUUCUACUCAGCGUGAUAACAGUCUGAUCGUUGAGGACAUCUUUCGGGAUGGCCGGUCUUCAUUUGGGUUGCUUCUAAACCUGGUUUUUGCAGAUUGUUUCAAUCUGUAUUCCACUUUUCAGCUUUGACCUCGAAUCAGGUGGGACUACCCGCUGAACUUAA
This 331-nucleotide unclassified non-coding RNA is filed under the name uncultured Clavulina. Its description in RNAcentral is "sequence contains ITS2". Lineage: Eukaryota; Fungi; Basidiomycota; Agaricomycetes; Cantharellales; Hydnaceae. The record is from RNAcentral.